GAUGCAACGCUCUUCGGUCAGCGUUAAGCAGACCAAACCGCGACCAUGAGUCACCAUGAAAUUGAUCGCCUCGGGGGUCACAAACUCGGCGGCCAUUA
This 98-nucleotide non-coding RNA is filed under the name Candidatus Paenalcaligenes intestinipullorum. The record is from RNAcentral. Lineage: Bacteria; Pseudomonadati; Pseudomonadota; Betaproteobacteria; Burkholderiales; Alcaligenaceae.